RNAcentral lists this unclassified non-coding RNA (256 nucleotides) under Clostridioides difficile. RNAcentral's name for it is "16S-23S ribosomal RNA intergenic spacer". The record is from RNAcentral. Lineage: Bacteria; Bacillati; Bacillota; Clostridia; Peptostreptococcales; Peptostreptococcaceae.
ACCUACUGUUUAAUUUUGAGGGUUCGUUUUUACGAAUACUCAAAAUUAGCACUUUAAGCAACGGAAUUUAUUCGUUGGCGCUGCGCGUUAGCACUUUAAGCAACGGGAUUUAUCCGUUGGCGCUGUGCGUUAGCACUUUGAAAACUGCAUAUAUAUUUAGUGAUAUGACAUCUAAUUUGUAAUAUAUAAAGCUGAUAACUUUUAAAAUUAUCGAAGUUGAUAGCUUCUAAUCUAUCAAACCUUUUUAACUGGUCAA